RNAcentral lists this ribosomal RNA (478 nucleotides) under uncultured bacterium. Its description in RNAcentral is "bacterial SSU rRNA". It matches the Rfam family "Bacterial small subunit ribosomal RNA", at positions 28 to 495 of the family's 1533-position model. The record is from RNAcentral.
GAUGAACGCUAGCUACAGGCUUAACACAUGCAAGUCGAGGGGCAUCAUGGCGGUUGCUUGCAACCGUCGAUGGCGACCGGCGCACGGGUGAGUAACGCGUAUCCAACCUGGCCGUUGCCACGGCACAGCCCGCCGAAAGGCGGAUUAAUGCGGUAUGAGGCGCUUCGAUGGCAUCAGAAGAGCGCCAAAGCUUCGGCGGCAGCGGAUGGGGAUGCGUCCGAUUAGGCAGCAGGCGGGGCAACGGCCCACCUGGCCGACGAUCGGUAGGGGUCCUGAGAGGGAGGCCCCCCACACUGGGACUGAGACACGGCCCAGACUCCUACGGGAGGCAGCAGUGAGGAAUAUUGGUCAAUGGGCGGAAGCCUGAACCAGCCAAGUAGCGUGCGGGAUGACGGCCCUAUGGGUUGUAAACCGCUUUUUCACGGGGAUAAAGUGCGCCACGCGUGGCGCUUUGCAGGUACCGUGCGAAUAAGGACCG